AUUGAACGCUGGCGGCAGGCCUAACACAUGCAAGUCGAACGGUAACAGGAAGCAGCUUGCUGCUUUGCUGACGAGUGGCGGACGGGUGAGUAAUGUCUGGGAAACUGCCCGAUGGAGGGGGAUAACUACUGGAAACGGUAGCUAAUACCGCAUAACGUCGCAAGACCAAAGAGGGGGACCUUAGGGCCUCUUGCCAUCGGAUGUGCCCAGAUGGGAUUAGCUAGUAGGUGGGGUAACGGCUCACCUAGGCGACGAUCCCUAGCUGGUCUGAGAGGAUGACCAGCCACACUGGAACUGAGACACGGUCCAGACUCCUACGGGAGGCAGCAGGGGGGAAUAUUGCACAAUGGGCGCAAGCCUGAUGCAGCCAUGCCGCGUGUAUGAAGAAGGCCUUCGGGUUGUAAAGUACUUUCAGCGGGGAGGAAGGGAGUAAAGUUAAUACCUUUGCUCAUUGACGUUACCCGCAGAAGAAGCACCGGCUAACUCCGG
This 489-nucleotide ribosomal RNA is filed under the name uncultured bacterium. RNAcentral's name for it is "partial 16S ribosomal RNA". It matches the Rfam family "Bacterial small subunit ribosomal RNA", at positions 30 to 506 of the family's 1533-position model. The record is from RNAcentral.